Molecule: ribosomal RNA, 255 nt
Filed under: uncultured bacterium
Lineage: Bacteria
Description: partial 16S ribosomal RNA
Rfam family: Bacterial small subunit ribosomal RNA
Source: RNAcentral
UACGGGGGGGUGCGAGCGUUGUCCGGAAUCACUGGGCGUAAAGGGCGCGUAGGUGGUUUGUUGCGUCGGCUGUGAAAUCCCGAGGCUCAACCUCGGGUCUGCAGUCGAUACGAGCAAACUAGAGUGUUGCAGGGGAGACUGGAAUUCCUGGUGUAGCGGUGAAAUGCGCAGAUAUCAGGAGGAACACCGGUGGCGAAGGCGGGUCUCUGGGCAAGCAACUGACGCUGAGGAGCGAAAGCGUGGGGAGCGAACAGG